UGACGUCAAGUCCUCAUGCCUUUAUGACCAGGGCUACACACGUACUACAAUGGCCGGUACAAAGGGCAGCGACACAGCGAUGUGAAGCCAAUCCCGAAAAGCCGGUCUCAGUCCGGAUUGGAGUCUGCAACUCGACUCCAUGAAGUUGGAAUCGCUAGUAAUCGCGGAUCAGCACGCCGCGGUGAAUACGUUCCCGGGCCUU
This 202-nucleotide ribosomal RNA is filed under the name uncultured Desulfocapsa sp. RNAcentral describes it as "partial 16S ribosomal RNA". It matches the Rfam family "Bacterial small subunit ribosomal RNA", at positions 1180 to 1382 of the family's 1533-position model. The record is from RNAcentral. Lineage: Bacteria; Pseudomonadati; Thermodesulfobacteriota; Desulfobulbia; Desulfobulbales; Desulfocapsaceae.